This 497-nucleotide ribosomal RNA is filed under the name uncultured bacterium. RNAcentral describes it as "partial 16S ribosomal RNA". It matches the Rfam family "Bacterial small subunit ribosomal RNA", at positions 28 to 507 of the family's 1533-position model. The record is from RNAcentral.
GAUGAACGCUGGCGGCGUGCCUAAUACAUGCAAGUCGAGCGAACAGACGAGGAGCUUGCUCCUUUGACGUUAGCGGCGGACGGGUGAGUAACACGUGGGUAACCUACCUAUAAGACUGGGAUAACUUCGUGAAACCGGAGCUAAUACCGGAUAAUAUUUCGAACCGCAUGGUUCGAUAGUUAAAGAUGGCUCUGCUAUCACUUAUAGAUGGACCUGCGCCGUAUUAGCUAGUUGGUAAGGUAACGGCUUACCAAGGCAACGAUACGUAGCCGACCUGAGAGGGUGAUCGGCCACACUGGAACUGAGACACGGUCCAGACUCCUACGGGAGGCAGCAGUAGGGAAUCUUCCGCAAUGGGCGAAAGCCUGACGGAGCAACGCCGCGUGAGUGAUGAAGGUCUUCGGAUCGUAAAACUCUGUUAUUAGGGAAGAACAAACGUGUAAGUAACUGUGCACGUCUUGACGGUACCUAAUCAGAAAGCCACGGCUAACUACGUG